This is a long non-coding RNA of Oncorhynchus nerka (sockeye salmon), 833 nucleotides long. RefSeq lists it as uncharacterized. The record is from RefSeq and is a predicted model, not a curated record. NCBI's taxonomy places the organism in Eukaryota, Metazoa, Chordata, Actinopteri, Salmoniformes, Salmonidae. The transcript is spliced from 3 exons.
ACAGUGGACAUAUCCUGUACUUAUGGCAGUGGUUAUGAUACUGUCACAUCAUCACUCUGGUUUAGUCCUAAACAGAGAUCUAGGUGGAGGGAUGAGUUGAUCCCUGAGGACCUAACCACAGACCCAGGGUAUGCAGGUCGUGUGGAGUAUGUUGGAGAGAAGGAGAGAGGUCGCUCCACCCUGAGAAUCACAGAUCUGAGAAUCACAGAUCUGAGAGAGGAGGACUCUGCUGAGUACAAGUUCAUAUUCAACACACAGACAUCAAGAUGGGGACACAGUUUCCCUGGAACAACUCUGACUGUCACAGACCUGCAGGUGAAGGUGACUCCUGCCACAGAGGCAGGGAAGAGGACACUGACCUGUAUCACCACCUGUACUCUGACUGACAACCCCACCUACAUCUGGUACAAGAACGAUACCAGGGUAAGGAGGACACUUCCAGCCUGGACUCAGACUCCUUUAGUGAUGCAGACAGUUACUCCUGUGCUGUAAAAGGCUAUGAUAAUCUCUUCUCUCCUGCAGUGUGUAAGAAGUGUUGGAGUGUGACUUACACCCAUCAGAGUAUUUGUGCCUUGAAGGGGUCAACAGUGGACAUAUCCUGCUCUUACACAUAUCCCAGUUAUCAUGAGAUCAAACAAGCUUUCUGGUUUACUAAAUGGUCUGGUAUGGAGGCUGAAGAUCUGAGCUCAGUGCCAGGGUAUGAGGGUCAUAUAGAGUACCUUGGGGAUAAGGAGAGGGACUGUACUCUGAGAAUCACAGACCUGAGAUUGAGUGACUCUGCUGGGUACAGGUUCAGAUUCAUAACAUCUGGAGAAAAGUUUUCUGGCUCACCU